AUUGAACGCUGGCGGCAGGCCUAACACAUGCAAGUCGAGCGGAUGAAGGGAGCUUGCUCCUGGAUUCAGCGGCGGACGGGUGAGUAAAUGCCUAGGAAUCUGCCUGGUAGUGGGGGAUAACGUCCGGAAACGGGCGCUAAUACCGCAUACGUCCUGAGGGAGAAAGUGGGGGAUCUUCGGACCUCACGCUAUCAGAUGAGCCUAGGUCGGAUUAGCUAGUUGGUGGGGUAAAGGCCUACCAAGGCGACGAUCCGUAACUGGUCUGAGAGGAUGAUCAGUCACACUGGAACUGAGACACGGUCCAGACUCCUACGGGAGGCAGCAGUGGGGAAUAUUGGACAAUGGGCGAAAGCCUGAUCCAGCCAUGCCGCGUGUGUGAAGAAGGUCUUCGGAUUGUAAAGCACUUUAAGUUGGGAGGAAGGGCAGUAAGUUAAUACCUUGCUGUUUUGACGUUACCAACAGAAUAAGCACCGGCUAACUUCGUG
Molecule: ribosomal RNA, 485 nt
Filed under: uncultured bacterium
Lineage: Bacteria
Description: partial 16S ribosomal RNA
Rfam family: Bacterial small subunit ribosomal RNA
Source: RNAcentral